RNAcentral lists this unclassified non-coding RNA (216 nucleotides) under soil metagenome. RNAcentral's name for it is "partial contains 5.8S ribosomal RNA, internal transcribed spacer 2, and large subunit ribosomal RNA". The record is from RNAcentral.
AACACUGUUAACCUGCGGUACCUGCGGAAGGAUCAUUACAGAGUUCAUGCCCUCACGGGUAGAUCUCCCACCCUUGAAUACUAUACCUUUGUUGCUUUGGCGGGCCGCUUUGGCUACUGGCUCUGGCUAGUAAGUGCCCGCCAAAGAACCCCAAAACUCUGAAUAUUAGUGUCGUCUGAGUACUAUAUAAUAGUUAAAACUUUCAACAACGGAUCU